AGCCACUUCUGCUUACCAGGUAUAGAACUUUAUUCAUUGAUGACCUGGGAUUGUAGCAGUAUGUGCUUUCCCAACAUCCGUUUCUUAACUUUUCUAAAUAAAAGGAUGAAGCUAGGGAAGAAAAUAAUGAACAAGUAGAUUAAUUCUCAUUAUUCAUCACUAACUAUCUAGGUAUAACUAUACAUUUGAAUAAUUGUUUAAAGUCUUAUUUAUGGUAUUCAGAUCGAAGGUGCAGCAAACAUA
Molecule: unclassified non-coding RNA, 243 nt
Filed under: Hevea brasiliensis (rubber tree)
Lineage: Eukaryota; Viridiplantae; Streptophyta; Magnoliopsida; Malpighiales; Euphorbiaceae
Source: RNAcentral